UACGGGGGGGGGUAAGCGUUGUUCGGAAUUACUGGGCGUAAAGGGCUCGUAGGCGGCCAACUAAGUCGGACGUGAAAUCCCUCAGCUUAACUGGGGAACUGCGUCUGAUACUGGGUGGCUUGAGUUCGGGAGAGGAAUGUGGAAUUCCAGGUGUAGCGGUGAAAUGCGUAGAUAUCUGGAGGAACACCGGUGGCGAAGGCGGCAUUCUGGACCGAAACUGACGCUGAGGCGCGAAAGCCAGGGGAGCAAACGGG
RNAcentral lists this ribosomal RNA (254 nucleotides) under uncultured bacterium. Its description in RNAcentral is "partial 16S ribosomal RNA". It matches the Rfam family "Bacterial small subunit ribosomal RNA", at positions 524 to 776 of the family's 1533-position model. The record is from RNAcentral.